This 440-nucleotide ribosomal RNA is filed under the name uncultured bacterium. RNAcentral describes it as "partial 16S ribosomal RNA". It matches the Rfam family "Bacterial small subunit ribosomal RNA", at positions 338 to 795 of the family's 1533-position model. The record is from RNAcentral.
UCUACGGGAGGCAGCAGUGGGGGAUAUUGCACAAUGGGGGAAACCCUGAUGCAGCGACGCCGCGUGUGGGAAGACGGUCCUCUGGAUUGUAAACCACUGUCCCCAGGGACGAAGAUGACGGUACCUGGGGAGGAAGCUCCGGCUAACUACGUGCCAGCAGCCGCGGUAAUACGUAGGGAGCGAGCGUUGUCCGGAAUUACUGGGUGUAAAGGGAGCGUAGGCGGGACUGCAAGUUGGGUGUCAAAUCUACCGGCUCAACCGGUAGCCGCACUCAAAACUGCAGUUCUUGAGGGAAGUAGAGGCAGGCGGAAUUCGUGGUGUAGCGGUGAAAUGCGUAGAUAUUAGGAGGAACACCAGUGGCGAAGGCGGCCUGCUGGGCUUUUACUGACGCUGAGGCUCGAGAGUGUGGGGAGCAAACAGGAUUAGAUACCCCUGUAGUC